Molecule: transfer RNA, 73 nt
Filed under: Harpegnathos saltator (Jerdon's jumping ant)
Lineage: Eukaryota; Metazoa; Arthropoda; Insecta; Hymenoptera; Formicidae
Rfam family: tRNA
About the family: Transfer RNA (tRNA) molecules are approximately 80 nucleotides in length.
Source: Rfam by way of RNAcentral
CAUCAGGUAGCUCAGCGGUUUAGAGCAGAUGCCCGGCAAGCGAAAGACCCGGGUUCGAUUCCCGGUUUAGCGA